This 497-nucleotide ribosomal RNA is filed under the name uncultured bacterium. RNAcentral's name for it is "partial 16S ribosomal RNA". It matches the Rfam family "Bacterial small subunit ribosomal RNA", at positions 28 to 507 of the family's 1533-position model. The record is from RNAcentral.
GAUGAACGCUGGCGGCGUGCCUAAUACAUGCAAGUCGAGCGAACAGACGAGGAGCUUGCUCCUCUGACGUUAGCGGCGGACGGGUGAGUAACACGUGGAUAACCUACCUAUAAGACUGGGAUAACUUCGGGAAACCGGAGCUAAUACCGGAUAAUAUAUUGAACCGCAUGGUUCAAUAGUGAAAGACGGUUUUGCUGUCACUUAUAGAUGGAUCCGCGCCGCAUUAGAUAGUUGGUAAGGUAACGGCUUACCAAGGCGACGAUGCGUAGCCGACCUGAGAGGGGGAUCGGCCACACUGGAGCUGGGACGCGGUCAAGACUCCUACGGGAGGCAGCAGUAGGGAAUCUGCCGCAAUGGGCGAAAGCCUGACGGAGCAACGCCGCGUGAGUGAUGAAGGUCUUCGGAUCGUAAAACUCUGUUAUUAGGGAAGAACAAAUGUGUAAGUAACUAUGCACGUCUUGACGGUACCUAAUCAGAAAGCCACGGCUAACUACGUG